UACGGAGGGUGCAAACGUUGCUCGGAAUCAUUGGGCGUAAAGCGCACGUAGGCGGCGAAGCAAGUCGGGUGUGAAAGCCCUGGGCUCAACCCAGGAAGUGCAUUCGAAACUAUUUCGCUUGAAUCUCGGAGGGGGUCAGAGAAUUCCCGGUGUAGAGGUGAAAUUCGUAGAUAUCGGGAGGAAUACCAGUGGCGAAGGCGCUGACCUGGACGAAGAUUGACGCUGAGGUGCGAAAGCGCGGGGAGCAAACAGGAUUAGAAACCCCUGUAGU
RNAcentral lists this ribosomal RNA (271 nucleotides) under uncultured bacterium. RNAcentral describes it as "partial 16S ribosomal RNA". It matches the Rfam family "Bacterial small subunit ribosomal RNA", at positions 524 to 794 of the family's 1533-position model. The record is from RNAcentral.